RNAcentral lists this ribosomal RNA (499 nucleotides) under uncultured bacterium. RNAcentral's name for it is "bacterial SSU rRNA". It matches the Rfam family "Bacterial small subunit ribosomal RNA", at positions 32 to 507 of the family's 1533-position model. The record is from RNAcentral.
AACGCUGGCGGCGUGCCUAACACAUGCAAGUCGUACGAGAAAGUUGGCUUCGGCUGAUGAGUAAAGUGGCGCACGGGUGAGUAACGCGUGGAUAAUCUGCCUUUUAGUUGGGAAUAACGUACCGAAAGGUGCGCUAAUACCGGAUAAUACUGCAUAACUACUGUUGUGUAGUCAAAGAAGGCCUCUGUUUACAAGCUUUUGCUGAAAGAUGAGUCCGCGUACCAUUAGCUAGUUGGUAGGGUAAUGGCCUACCAAGGCUACGAUGGUUAGCUGGUCUGAGAGGAUGAUCAGCCACACUGGAACUGAGACGCGGUCCAGACUCCUACGGGAGGCAGCAGUGAGGAAUAUUGCGCAAUGGGGGCAACCCUGACGCAGCAACGCCGCGUGAGUGAGGAAGGUUUUCGGACCGUAAAGCUCUGUCGAGCGGGAAGAAAUGUAUCGUGGCUAAUAUCCAUGAUAUUUGACGGUACCGCUAAAGGAAGCACCGGCUAACUCCGUG